AUUGAACGCUGGCGGCAGGCCUAACACAUGCAAGUCGAACGGUAGCACAGAGAGCUUGCUCUCGGGUGACGAGUGGCGGACGGGUGAGUAAUGUCUGGGAAACUGCCUGAUGGAGGGGGAUAACUACUGGAAACGGUAGCUAAUACCGCAUAACGUCGCAAGACCAAAGAGGGGGACCUUCGGGCCUCUUGCCAUCAGAUGUGCCCAGAUGGGAUUAGCUAGUAGGUGGGGUAACGGCUCACCUAGGCGACGAUCCCUAGCUGGUCUGAGAGGAUGACCAGCCACACUGGAACUGAGACACGGUCCAGACUCCUACGGGAGGCAGCAGUGGGGAAUAUUGCACAAUGGGCGCAAGCCUGAUGCAGCCAUGCCGCGUGUAUGAAGAAGGCCUUCGGGUUGUAAAGUACUCUUCAGCGGGGAGGAAGGUGUUGUGGUUAAUAACCGCAGCAAUUGACGUUACCCGCAGAAGAAGCACCGGCUAACUCCGUGCCAGCAGCCGCGGUAAUACGGAGGGUGCAAGCGUUAAUCGGAAUUACUGGGCGUAAAGCGCACGCAGGCGGUCUGUCAAGUCGGAUGUGAAAUCCCCGGGCUCAACCUGGGAACUGCAUUCGAAACUGGCAGGCUAGAGUCUUGUAGAGGGGGGUAGAAUUCCAGGUGUAGCGGUGAAAUGCGUAGAGAUCUGGAGGAAUACCGGUGGCGAAGGCGGCCCCCUGGACAAAGACUGACGCUCAGGUGCGAAAGCGUGGGGAGCAAACAGGAUUAGAUACCCUGGUAGUCCACGCCGUAAACGAUGUCGACUUGGAGGUUGUGCCCUUGAGGCGUGGCUUCCGGAGCUAACGCGUUAAGUCGACCGCCUGGGGAGUACGGCCGCAAGGUUAAAACUCAAAUGAAUUGACGGGGGCCCGCACAAGCGGUGGAGCAUGUGGUUUAAUUCGAUGCAACGCGAAGAACCUUACCUACUCUUGACAUCCAGAGAACUUUCCAGAGAUGGAUUGGUGCCUUCGGGAACUCUGAGACAGGUGCUGCAUGGCUGUCGUCAGCUCGUGUUGUGAAAUGUUGGGUUAAGUCCCGCAACGAGCGCAACCCUUAUCCUUUGUUGCCAGCGGUCCGGCCGGGAACUCAAAGGAGACUGCCAGUGAUAAACUGGAGGAAGGUGGGGAUGACGUCAAGUCAUCAUGGCCCUUACGAGUAGGGCUACACACGUGCUACAAUGGCGCAUACAAAGAGAAGCGAACUCGCGAGAGCAAGCGGACCUCAUAAAGUGCGUCGUAGUCCGGAUUGGAGUCUGCAACUCGACUCCAUGAAGUCGGAAUCGCUAGUAAUCGUAGAUCAGAAUGCUACGGUGAAUACGUUCCCGGGCCUUGUACACACCGCCCGUCACACCAUGGGAGUGGGUUGCAAAAGAAGUAGGUAGCUUAACCUUCGGGAGGGCGCUUACCACUUUGUGAUUCAUGACUGGGGUGAAGUCGUAACAAGGUAACCGUAGGGGAACC
Molecule: ribosomal RNA, 1493 nt
Filed under: Enterobacter ludwigii
Lineage: Bacteria; Pseudomonadati; Pseudomonadota; Gammaproteobacteria; Enterobacterales; Enterobacteriaceae
Description: bacterial SSU rRNA
Rfam family: Bacterial small subunit ribosomal RNA
Source: RNAcentral